GUCUACGGCCAUACCACCCUGAACGCGCCCGAUCUCGUCUGAUCUCGGAAGCUAAGCAGGGUCGGGCCUGGUUAGUACUUGGAUGGGAGAAACUAGUUCAGCAUCAAAU
Molecule: ribosomal RNA, 109 nt
Filed under: Castor canadensis (American beaver)
Lineage: Eukaryota; Metazoa; Chordata; Mammalia; Rodentia; Castoridae
Source: RNAcentral